This 253-nucleotide ribosomal RNA is filed under the name uncultured bacterium. Its description in RNAcentral is "partial 16S ribosomal RNA". It matches the Rfam family "Bacterial small subunit ribosomal RNA", at positions 524 to 776 of the family's 1533-position model. The record is from RNAcentral.
UACGUAGGGUGCAAGCGUUGUCCGGAAUUAUUGGGCGUAAAGAGCUCGUAGGCGGUUUGUUGCGUCGGCUGUGAAAUCCCGAGGCUCAACCUCGGGUCUGCAGUCGAUACGAGCAAACUAGAGUGUUGCAGGGGAGACUGGAAUUCCUGGUGUAGCGGUGAAAUGCGCAGAUAUCAGGAGGAACACCUGCGGCGAAGGCGGGUUGCUGGGCUGACACUGACGCUGAUGCGCGAAAGCUAGGGGAGCGAACGGG